GGCAACUCUAGCUCAUCGCCAGAAGUCAACUCUUUUUUUACACUCGAUAUCAAUUUCAUUGGACGGAACUGCCCAACUAAUCCAAACCACCAAUUGGUGGUGGAAGGGCUGAGGAGGAGGGACUGGAUGGAGAAGGCCCCGAGGCCCUUCCCCUCUCCCGACGGGGCGAAGGAGGGGAUAAUGCCGAGGGGGAAGCCGUUGCCG
This 204-nucleotide unclassified non-coding RNA is filed under the name Hevea brasiliensis (rubber tree). The record is from RNAcentral. Lineage: Eukaryota; Viridiplantae; Streptophyta; Magnoliopsida; Malpighiales; Euphorbiaceae.